GGGGCCGUGGUCUAGCAUGGUCUAAGACUCCAGCCUGGGGAUGUGGCCUGCCGGAGCGCUGGCAAUCCUGGGUUCAAAUCCCAGCGGCCCCAC
RNAcentral lists this transfer RNA (93 nucleotides) under archaeon HR01. RNAcentral's name for it is "tRNA-Pro". It matches the Rfam family "tRNA". Rfam says of the family: Transfer RNA (tRNA) molecules are approximately 80 nucleotides in length. Their secondary structure includes four short double-helical elements and three loops (D, anti-codon, and T loops). The record is from RNAcentral.